UUUCCGUAGGUGAACCUGCGGAAGGAUCAUUACUGAGUGAGGGCCCCUCGGGGUCCAACCUCCCACCCGUGUUUAACGAACCUCGUUGCUUCGGCGGGCCCGCCUCACGGCCGCCGGGGGGCAUCUGCCCCCGGGCCCGCGCCCGCCGAAGCCACCUGUGAACGCUGUCUGAAGUAUGCAGUCUGAGACAAUUAUUAAAUUAAUUAAAACUUUCAACAACGGAUCUCUUGGUUCCG
RNAcentral lists this unclassified non-coding RNA (236 nucleotides) under plant metagenome. Its description in RNAcentral is "partial contains small subunit ribosomal RNA, internal transcribed spacer 1, and 5.8S ribosomal RNA". The record is from RNAcentral.